UCUAUCUUUAUGUCUACUGUCUUGCAAGGC
Molecule: non-coding RNA, 30 nt
Filed under: Rattus norvegicus (Norway rat)
Lineage: Eukaryota; Metazoa; Chordata; Mammalia; Rodentia; Muridae
Source: RNAcentral